CAGGCCUAACACAUGCAAGUCGAACGAAGGCUUCGGCCUUAGUGGCGCACGGGUGCGUAACGCGUGGGAAUCUGCCCUUUGGUUCGGAAAAACAGCGGGAAACUGCUGCUAAUACCGGAUGAUGACGAAAGUCCAAAGAUUUAUCGCCAGAGGAUGAGCCCGCGUCGGAUUAGCUAGUUGGUGGGGUGAUGGCCUACCAAGGCGACGACGGGUAGCCGGCCUGAGAGGGUGACCGGCCACACUGGGACUGAGACACGGCCCAGACUCCUACGGGAGGCAGCAGUGGGGAAUAUUGGACAAUGGGCGCAAGCCUGAUCCAGCCAUGCCGCGUGAGUGAUGACGGCCUUAGGGUUGUAAAGCUCUUUCGCACGCGACGAUAAUGACGGUAUCGUGAGAAGAAGCCCCGGCUAUCAUGGUGCCAGCAGCCGCGGUCAA
This 435-nucleotide ribosomal RNA is filed under the name uncultured bacterium. Its description in RNAcentral is "bacterial SSU rRNA". It matches the Rfam family "Bacterial small subunit ribosomal RNA", at positions 43 to 524 of the family's 1533-position model. The record is from RNAcentral.